UCCACGCAGUAAACGAUGAAUGUUAGUCGUCGGGGGCCUAGUGUCUUCGGUGAUGCAGCUAACGCAAUUAAACAUUCCGCCUGGGGAGUACGGUCGCAAGACUAAAACUCAAAGAAAUUGACGGGGGCCCGCACAAGCGGUGGAGCAUGUGGUUUAAUUCGACGCAACGCGAAGAACCUUACCCAGACUUGACAUCCUGUGGAUCUGUAAGAGAUUAUAGAGUGCCCUCGGGA
This 233-nucleotide ribosomal RNA is filed under the name uncultured bacterium. RNAcentral describes it as "partial 16S ribosomal RNA". It matches the Rfam family "Bacterial small subunit ribosomal RNA", at positions 794 to 1025 of the family's 1533-position model. The record is from RNAcentral.